This 492-nucleotide ribosomal RNA is filed under the name uncultured bacterium. RNAcentral's name for it is "partial 16S ribosomal RNA". It matches the Rfam family "Bacterial small subunit ribosomal RNA", at positions 29 to 507 of the family's 1533-position model. The record is from RNAcentral.
AGUGAACGCUGGCGGUAGGCCUAACACAUGCAAGUCGAACGGCAGCACAGUAAGAGCUUGCUCUUACGGGUGGCGAGUGGCGGACGGGUGAGGAAUACAUCGGAAUCUACUUUUUCGUGGGGGAUAACGUAGGGAAACUUACGCUAAUACCGCAUACGACCUACGGGUGAAAGCAGGGGAUCUUCGGACCUUGCGCGAAUGAAUGAGCCGAUGUCGGAUUAGCUAGUUGGCGGGGUAAAGGCCCACCAAGGCGACGAUCCGUAGCUGGUCUGAGAGGAUGAUCAGCCACACUGGAACUGAGACACGGUCCAGACUCCUACGGGAGGCAGCAGUGGGGAAUAUUGGACAAUGGGCGCAAGCCUGAUCCAGCCAUGCCGCGUGGGUGAAGAAGGCCUUCGGGUUGUAAAGCCCUUUUGUUGGGAAAGAAAAGCAGCAGGUUAAUACCCCGCUGUUCUGACGGUACCCAAAGAAUAAGCACCGGCUAACUUCGUG